RNAcentral lists this ribosomal RNA (2520 nucleotides) under Escherichia coli. RNAcentral's name for it is "partial 23S ribosomal RNA". It matches the Rfam family "Bacterial large subunit ribosomal RNA", at positions 416 to 2915 of the family's 2925-position model. Lineage: Bacteria; Pseudomonadati; Pseudomonadota; Gammaproteobacteria; Enterobacterales; Enterobacteriaceae. The record is from RNAcentral.
GGCGGGACACGUGGUAUCCUGUCUGAAUAUGGGGGGACCAUCCUCCAAGGCUAAAUACUCCUGACUGACCGAUAGUGAACCAGUACCGUGAGGGAAAGGCGAAAAGAACCCCGGCGAGGGGAGUGAAAAAGAACCUGAAACCGUGUACGUACAAGCAGUGGGAGCACGCUUAGGCGUGUGACUGCGUACCUUUUGUAUAAUGGGUCAGCGACUUAUAUUCUGUAGCAAGGUUAACCGAAUAGGGGAGCCGAAGGGAAACCGAGUCUUAACUGGGCGUUAAGUUGCAGGGUAUAGACCCGAAACCCGGUGAUCUAGCCAUGGGCAGGUUGAAGGUUGGGUAACACUAACUGGAGGACCGAACCGACUAAUGUUGAAAAAUUAGCGGAUGACUUGUGGCUGGGGGUGAAAGGCCAAUCAAACCGGGAGAUAGCUGGUUCUCCCCGAAAGCUAUUUAGGUAGCGCCUCGUGAAUUCAUCUCCGGGGGUAGAGCACUGUUUCGGCAAGGGGGUCAUCCCGACUUACCAACCCGAUGCAAACUGCGAAUACCGGAGAAUGUUAUCACGGGAGACACACGGCGGGUGCUAACGUCCGUCGUGAAGAGGGAAACAACCCAGACCGCCAGCUAAGGUCCCAAAGUCAUGGUUAAGUGGGAAACGAUGUGGGAAGGCCCAGACAGCCAGGAUGUUGGCUUAGAAGCAGCCAUCAUUUAAAGAAAGCGUAAUAGCUCACUGGUCGAGUCGGCCUGCGCGGAAGAUGUAACGGGGCUAAACCAUGCACCGAAGCUGCGGCAGCGACGCUUAUACGUUGUUGGGUAGGGGAGCGUUCUGUAAGCCUGCGAAGGUGUGCUGUGAGGCAUGCUGGAGGUAUCAGAAGUGCGAAUGCUGACAUAAGUAACGAUAAAGCGGGUGAAAAGCCCGCUCGCCGGAAGACCAAGGGUUCCUGUCCAACGUUAAUCGGGGCAGGGUGAGUCGACCCCUAAGGCGAGGCCGAAAGGCGUAGUCGAUGGGAAACAGGUUAAUAUUCCUGUACUUGGUGUUACUGCGAAGGGGGGACGGAGAAGGCUAUGUUGGCCGGGCGACGGUUGUCCCGGUUUAAGCGUGUAGGCUGGUUUUCCAGGCAAAUCCGGAAAAUCAAGGCUGAGGCGUGAUGACGAGGCACUACGGUGCUGAAGCAACAAAUGCCCUGCUUCCAGGAAAAGCCUCUAAGCAUCAGGUAACAUCAAAUCGUACCCCAAACCGACACAGGUGGUCAGGUAGAGAAUACCAAGGCGCUUGAGAGAACUCGGGUGAAGGAACUAGGCAAAAUGGUGCCGUAACUUCGGGAGAAGGCACGCUGAUAUGUAGGUGAAGUCCCUCGCGGAUGGAGCUGAAAUCAGUCGAAGAUACCAGCUGGCUGCAACUGUUUAUUAAAAACACAGCACUGUGCAAACACGAAAGUGGACGUAUACGGUGUGACGCCUGCCCGGUGCCGGAAGGUUAAUUGAUGGGGUCAGCGCAAGCGAAGCUCUUGAUCGAAGCCCCGGUAAACGGCGGCCGUAACUAUAACGGUCCUAAGGUAGCGAAAUUCCUUGUCGGGUAAGUUCCGACCUGCACGAAUGGCGUAAUGAUGGCCAGGCUGUCUCCACCCGAGACUCAGUGAAAUUGAACUCGCUGUGAAGAUGCAGUGUACCCGCGGCAAGACGGAAAGACCCCGUGAACCUUUACUAUAGCUUGACACUGAACAUUGAGCCUUGAUGUGUAGGAUAGGUGGGAGGCUUUGAAGUGUGGACGCCAGUCUGCAUGGAGCCGACCUUGAAAUACCACCCUUUAAUGUUUGAUGUUCUAACGUUGACCCGUAAUCCGGGUUGCGGACAGUGUCUGGUGGGUAGUUUGACUGGGGCGGUCUCCUCCUAAAGAGUAACGGAGGAGCACGAAGGUUGGCUAAUCCUGGUCGGACAUCAGGAGGUUAGUGCAAUGGCAUAAGCCAGCUUGACUGCGAGCGUGACGGCGCGAGCAGGUGCGAAAGCAGGUCAUAGUGAUCCGGUGGUUCUGAAUGGAAGGGCCAUCGCUCAACGGAUAAAAGGUACUCCGGGGAUAACAGGCUGAUACCGCCCAAGAGUUCAUAUCGACGGCGGUGUUUGGCACCUCGAUGUCGGCUCAUCACAUCCUGGGGCUGAAGUAGGUCCCAAGGGUAUGGCUGUUCGCCAUUUAAAGUGGUACGCGAGCUGGGUUUAGAACGUCGUGAGACAGUUCGGUCCCUAUCUGCCGUGGGCGCUGGAGAACUGAGGGGGGCUGCUCCUAGUACGAGAGGACCGGAGUGGACGCAUCACUGGUGUUCGGGUUGUCAUGCCAAUGGCACUGCCCGGUAGCUAAAUGCGGAAGAGAUAAGUGCUGAAAGCAUCUAAGCACGAAACUUGCCCCGAGAUGAGUUCUCCCUGACUCCUUGAGAGUCCUGAAGGAACGUUGAAGACGACGACGUUGAUAGGCCGGGUGUGUAAGCGCAGCGAUGCGUUGAGCUAACCGGUACUAAUGAACCGUGAGG